UAUUGAUAUUGGACCCAAAGGGUACAAUGAUUGAAAUGAGAACAAUAUAAAAAACUUAACGACUAACAAUUGGAGGGCAAGUCUGGUGCCAGCAGCCGCGGUAAUUCCAGCUCCAAGAGUGUAUAUUAAAGUUGUUGCGGUUAAAAAGCUCGUAGUUGAAUUUCUGAAAAUAAUCUUGUGAUUGAUUUAACCGUCAUGAACAAAAAUUGUUUACAUACUUGAUAGAUGGAAACAUUUAUCUUAAUGACUUUGAAAAAAUUAGAGUGUUCAAAGCAUGAUUCACAUUUGAAUAAUACAGCAUGGGAUAAUAUAAUAUGACAUUAGUUAAAAUUUGUUGGUUUCUUUGGCUAAUGUAAUGAUUAAAAGGGACAGUUGGAGUAAUUUAUAUUGGUUGGGGAGGGGUGAAAUCCUAUGAUCCUUCCAAGAUAAACUAGUGCGAAAGCAUUUUACUAGGAUGUUUUCAUUAAUCAAGAACGAAAGUUGGGGAUCGAAGAUGAUCAGAUACCGUCGUAGUCUCAACCAU
RNAcentral lists this ribosomal RNA (523 nucleotides) under uncultured eukaryote. RNAcentral's name for it is "bacterial SSU rRNA". It matches the Rfam family "Eukaryotic small subunit ribosomal RNA", at positions 477 to 1033 of the family's 1831-position model. The record is from RNAcentral.